UAAGGCAUACAAGGGAGUUCUUAAAAGAUCUGAGAGGAGGCCUAGCCUCGACCUUACCUGAUUUGGAUAAUGCCAACGUAGGGAUGUAUAUUUUUAUGCAUA
This 102-nucleotide non-coding RNA is filed under the name Anaerococcus lactolyticus. RNAcentral describes it as "TPP sequence". It matches the Rfam family "TPP riboswitch aptamer (THI element)". Rfam says of the family: Vitamin B(1) in its active form thiamin pyrophosphate (TPP) is an essential coenzyme that is synthesised by coupling of pyrimidine and thiazole moieties in bacteria. The previously detected thiamin-regulatory element, thi box was extended, resulting in a new, highly conserved RNA secondary structure, the THI element, which is widely distributed in eubacteria and also occurs in some archaea. Analysis of operon structures identified a large number of new candidate thiamin-regulated genes, mostly transporters, in various prokaryotic organisms. Lineage: Bacteria; Bacillati; Bacillota; Tissierellia; Tissierellales; Peptoniphilaceae. The record is from RNAcentral. RNAcentral also lists the same sequence under 1 other name.